RNAcentral lists this ribosomal RNA (253 nucleotides) under uncultured bacterium. RNAcentral's name for it is "partial 16S ribosomal RNA". It matches the Rfam family "Bacterial small subunit ribosomal RNA", at positions 524 to 776 of the family's 1533-position model. The record is from RNAcentral.
UACGAAGGGGGCUAGCGUUGUUCGGAAUCACUGGGCGUAAAGCGCACGUAGGCGGAUCUUUAAGUCAGGGGUGAAAUCCCCAGGCUCAACCUGGGAACUGCGUCUGAUACUGGAUGGCUUGAAUCCGGGAGAGGGAUGCAGAAUUCCAGGUGUAGCGGUGAAAUGCGUAGAUAUCUGGAGGAAUACCGGUGGCGAAGGCGGCAUCCUGGACCGGCAUUGACGCUGAGGAGCGAAAGCCAGGGGAGCAAACGGG